RNAcentral lists this ribosomal RNA (395 nucleotides) under uncultured bacterium. Its description in RNAcentral is "partial 16S ribosomal RNA". It matches the Rfam family "Bacterial small subunit ribosomal RNA", at positions 338 to 730 of the family's 1533-position model. The record is from RNAcentral.
CCUACGGGAGGCAGCAGUGAGGAAUAUUGGUCAAUGGACGCAAGUCUGAACCAGCCAUGCCGCGUGCAGGAAGACGGCCCUAUGAGUUGUAAACUGCUUUUGUACGAGGGUAAACGCAGAUACGUGUAUCUGUCUGAAAGUACCGUACGAAUAAGGAUCGGCUAAAUCCGUGCCAGCAGCCGCGGUAAUACGGAGGAUUCAAGCGUUAUCCGGAUUUAUUGGGUUUAAAGGGUGCGUAGGCGGUCGGAUAAGUUAGAGGUGAAAUCCCGAGGCUCAACUUCGGAAUUGCAGCGGAUACUGUUCGGCUAGAGAGUAGUUGCGGUAGGCGGAAUUUAUGGUGUAGCGGUGAAAUGCUUAGAGAUCUUACAGAACACCGAGUGCGAAGGCAGCUUACC